Non-coding RNA from Myotis lucifugus (little brown bat), 73 nucleotides. NCBI's taxonomy places the organism in Eukaryota, Metazoa, Chordata, Mammalia, Chiroptera, Vespertilionidae. The record is from Rfam.
AGACACCCUUAUGGGGCAAGACUUGCUUCAGUGGGGCUUUGGUGCUCACUGAGUCUGCCCCAAGUGUGACCCU